GUGUCGUGAGAUGUUGGUUAAGUCCGCAACGAGCGCAACCCUAUUGUUAGUUGCCAUCAUUCAGUUGGCACUCUAGCGAGACUGCCGGUAAUAAACCGGAGGAAGGUGGGAUGACGUCAAAUCAUCAUGCCCCUUAUGACCUGGGCUACACACGUGCUACAAUGGUUGGUACAACGAGUUGCGAGUCGGUGACGGCGAGCUAAUCUCUUAAAGCCAAUCUCAGUUCGGAUUGUAGGCUGCAACUCGCCUACAUGAAGUCGGAAUCGCUAGUAAUCGCGGAUCAGCACGCCGCGGUGAAUACGUUCCCGGGCCUU
Molecule: ribosomal RNA, 314 nt
Filed under: uncultured Streptococcus sp.
Lineage: Bacteria; Bacillati; Bacillota; Bacilli; Lactobacillales; Streptococcaceae
Description: bacterial SSU rRNA
Rfam family: Bacterial small subunit ribosomal RNA
Source: RNAcentral